This 340-nucleotide ribosomal RNA is filed under the name uncultured bacterium. RNAcentral's name for it is "bacterial SSU rRNA". It matches the Rfam family "Bacterial small subunit ribosomal RNA", at positions 335 to 666 of the family's 1533-position model. The record is from RNAcentral.
ACUCCUACGGGAGGCAGCAGUGGGGAAUAUUGCACAAUGGGCGCAAGCCUGAUGCAGCCAUGCCGCGUGUGUGAAGAAGGCCUUCGGGUUGUAAAGUACUUUCAGCAGUGAGGAAGGUGGUAGUGUUAAUAGCACUAUCAUUUGACGUUAGCUGCAGAAGAAGCACUGGCUAACUCCGUGCCAGCAGCCGCGGUAAUACGGAGGGUGCGAGCGUUAAUCGGAAUUACUGGGCGUAAAGCGCAUGCAGGUGGUUUGUUAAGUCAGAUGUGAAAGCCCGGGGCUCAACCUCGGAAUUGCAUUUGAAACUGGCAGACUAGAGUACUGGUAGAGGGGGGUAGAA